AUUGAACGCUGGCGGCAGGCUUAACACAUGCAAGUCGAGCGAGCGGCGGACGGGUGAGCAAUGUCUGGGAAACUGCGUGAUGGAGGGGGAUAACUACUGGAAACGGUAGCUAAUACCGCAUACCAUCAGAUGUGCCCAGAUGGGAUUAGCUAUUAGGUGGGGUAAUGGCUCACCUAGGAGACGAUCCCUAGCUGGUCUGAUAGGAUAACCAGCCACACUGGAGCUGAGACAGGGUCCAGACUCCAACGGGAGGAAGCAGUGAGGAAUAUGGCGCAAUGGGCGCAAGCCUGACGAAUCCAUGCCGCGUGUGUAAAGAAGGCCUACGGGUUGAAAAACACUUUAAGCGAAGAGGCGUUACUCGCAGAAGAAGCACCGGCUAACUCCGUGCCAGCAGCCGCGGUAAUUC
This 406-nucleotide ribosomal RNA is filed under the name uncultured bacterium. Its description in RNAcentral is "partial 16S ribosomal RNA". It matches the Rfam family "Bacterial small subunit ribosomal RNA", at positions 30 to 526 of the family's 1533-position model. The record is from RNAcentral.